This 253-nucleotide ribosomal RNA is filed under the name uncultured bacterium. Its description in RNAcentral is "partial 16S ribosomal RNA". It matches the Rfam family "Bacterial small subunit ribosomal RNA", at positions 524 to 776 of the family's 1533-position model. The record is from RNAcentral.
UACAGAGGGUGCGAGCGUUAUCCGGAUUCACUGGGUUUAAAGGGUGCGUAGGCGGGCAGGUAAGUCCGUGGUGAAAUCUCUGAGCUUAACUCAGAAACUGCCAUGGAUACUAUUUGUCUUGAAUAUUGUGGAGGUAAGCGGAAUAUGUCAUGUAGCGGUGAAAUGCUUAGAUAUGACAUAGAACACCAAUUGCGAAGGCAGCUUACUACACAGUAAUUGACGCUGAGGCACGAAAGCGUGGGGAUCAAACAGG